Long non-coding RNA from Camelina sativa (false flax), 791 nucleotides. RefSeq lists it as uncharacterized. Lineage: Eukaryota; Viridiplantae; Streptophyta; Magnoliopsida; Brassicales; Brassicaceae. The record is from RefSeq and is a predicted model, not a curated record.
AGCUUUUUUCGACCUGCUCUCAUUAGAUCACUGGUCGAACAAAAAAAAAAACUUUUUCUCUCUCGACCUAGCCGUCUAGAAAAAUUUUUGUUUGGCCGGCGGUUGGUGGCUUCCACAGCACCGUCGUCAGCCUGCUCCCUUGUAUUUAAGUAGUUUCUCUUCUUAGUAGUUUCUAGUUUGCCUUUCUAGCUUUCUCAAACCUUAACUUUGUCGUCUCCUCCUUGUGGCGGUUUGGUGUUGUUCUUAUGUGGAUCUAUUCCGAAAAGAGGUUUGCUUAUCCUUUGAUUCAUGGUUAAGAAACUCCAAAGUAAGUAGAGAGACUCUUGCGAAGAAGGUGGAGGAUGUAAUGCCCAUUGCAACUGGACUUGAGAAGGAGGAGCUUGACGCUGAAAUAAAGGUGGAGUUUUGCUAUUAGACUAAGUUACUGCAAAAGAACAAAACAAAAAUCUGUCAAGUGAAUGUUUUUUUUGUACUGCUCCUAAGUCUGAUGAUAUCUACCUCAAGCCUCUCGUAAAUGGGUAAAGACUCUUUUGGAAUGACACCAAAGACUUGGAUGCUACCAAAACAGAGGAGAUUGGAUUUAGUAACGGCUUUGCAACAAGUAAGAAAUGCUUAACCUUGAAGGAGCUUCUUCAACAAAGGUUUAUCACAUAGUCGUGCAUGUUGUUGUUAUCCUUGUAUGAUCCAAAACCUUAGGUUAUGAAGAUUAGAUAUUUAAUUGAAUGUAAUACAUGUUAUGUAUUUUUGUGUAAUGGAUAUUUUUGAUAUUAUUUAUGGAAGAAAAAAAGUUA